RNAcentral lists this ribosomal RNA (768 nucleotides) under Exophiala phaeomuriformis. RNAcentral's name for it is "eukaryotic LSU rRNA". The stretch from base 209 to 363 matches the Rfam family "5.8S ribosomal RNA". The record is from RNAcentral. Lineage: Eukaryota; Fungi; Ascomycota; Eurotiomycetes; Chaetothyriales; Herpotrichiellaceae.
GUUAUCACACACUUCGGGAGAAUCGUCGGAGACUGAUCUCGCACCCAUAUGUCUAUUGAACCCUUGUUGCUUCGGCGGGCCCGUCGUUAUACGGCCGCCGGAGGACCGACUCCAGGUCCUCUGGCCCGCGCCCGCCGGUAGCCAAAAUCACCAAACUCUUGAAUAAUCGUGUCUAUGAUGUCUGAGUACUUUUAUUAAAAUUAAGCAAAACUUUCAACAACGGAUCUCUUGGUUCUGGCAUCGAUGAAGAACGCAGCGAAAUGCGAUAAGUAAUGCGAAUUGCAGAAUUCCAGUGAGUCAUCGAAUCUUUGAACGCACAUUGCGCCCUUUGGUAUUCCGAAGGGCAUGCCUGUUCGAGCGUCAUUAUCACCCCUCAAGCCCUCCGGCUUGGUGUUGGACGGUCUGGUCGAGCUGCUCGACCCCUCCCAAAGACAAUGACGGCGGCCUGGUUGGACCCCCGGUACAUGGAGCUUCUUGAUUGAGCACGUAUCGGUUUCAAGGCGUCCCCGGGACCCGGUCUCACUCUCUCCCCUCGCGGGAGGGAACCCCCCUUUUUUCUAAGGUUGACCUCGGAUCAGUAGGAAUACCCGCUGAACUUAAGCAUAUCAUAAGCAGAGUGAAGUAAGUUGGGGUUUCGCACCACUUUCUCAUGAACUGUUGCUCCGGGCUCUUAUCGGCGAGCACUUCUGCCCCGCACACUGAAAGUUUAAGUGCAUUUUAUAAUUCAUCAUGGUCCUAGAGGGAAGGAUAUUACUUUAUACGGCUCUU